GGGAAUUUUCCGCAAUGGGCGAAAGCCUGACGGAGCAACGCCGCGUGAGGGAUGAAGGCCUCUGGGCUGUAAACCUCUUUUAUCAAGGAAGAAGAUCUGACGGUACUUGAUGAAUAAGCCACGGCUAAUUCCGUGCCAGCAGCCGCGGUAAUACGGGAGUGGCAAGCGUUAUCCGGAAUUAUUGGGCGUAAAGCGUCCGCAGGCGGCCCUUCAAGUCUGCUGUUAAAAAGCGGAGCUUAACUCCAUCAUGGCAGUGGAAACUGUUGGGCUUGAGUGUGGUAGGGGCAGAGGGAAUUCCCGGUGUAGCGGUGAAAUGCGUAGAUAUCGGGAAGAACACCAGUGGCGAAGGCGCUCUGCUGGGCCAUAACUGACGCUCAUGGACGAAAGCCAGGGGAGCGAAAGGGAUUAGAUACCCCUGUAGUCA
Molecule: ribosomal RNA, 424 nt
Filed under: uncultured cyanobacterium
Lineage: Bacteria; Bacillati; Cyanobacteriota
Description: bacterial SSU rRNA
Rfam family: Bacterial small subunit ribosomal RNA
Source: RNAcentral